UUCCGGUUGAUCCCGCCGGAGGCUACCGCUAUUGGAGUUCGAUUAAGCCAUGCGAGUCGCGAGAAAUUAGAUUCUCGGCGUACCGCUCAGUAACACGUGGGUAACCUGCCCUAUGCUGGAUAAUAACCUCGGGAAACUGAGAAUAAUGAUCCAUAGUUCACUACGCCUGGAACGGUGAGUGGAUGAAAGCUCCGGCGGCAUAGGAUGGGCCUGCGGCGUAUCAGGUUGUAGGGGGUGUAACGUACCCUCUAGCCCUCUACGCGUACGGGUGUUGGGAGACAUAGCCCGGAGAUGGAUUCUGAGACACGAAUCCAGACCCUACGGGGUGCAGCAGGCGCGAAAACUUGGCAAUGCGAGAAAUCGUGACCAGGGAACUCCAAGUGCAUGGGGUAAGACCCAUGCUUUUCUUGACUCUAAAUAGGUCUUGGAAUAAGGGGUGGGUAAGGACGGUGCCAGCCGCCGCGGUAAUACCGGCGCCUCAAGUGGUAGUCGCUUUUAUUGGGCCUAAAACGUCCGUAGCCGGUCUGAUACAUUCGUGGGUAAAUCAACCAGCUUAACUGGUUGAAUUCUGCGAGGACGGUCAGACUUGGGACCGGGAGAGGUGUGGGGUACGCUCAGGGUAGGGGUAAAAUCCUGUCAUCCUGAGCGGACCACCUGUUGCGAAGGCGCCACACUAGAACGGAUCCGACGGUCAGGGACGAAGCCUAGGGGCACGAACCGGAUUAGAUACCCGGGUAGUCCUAGGUGUAAACGCUGUGGACUUGAUGUUGGGGGUGCUCCGAGCACUCUCAGUGUCGAAGCGAAGGUGAUAAGUCCACUGCCUGGGAAGUACGGUCGCAAGGCUGAAACUUAAAGGAAUUGGCGGGGGAGCACCGCAACCUGAGGAUUGUGCGGUUUAAUUGGAUUCAACGCC
This 913-nucleotide ribosomal RNA is filed under the name uncultured marine archaeon. RNAcentral describes it as "bacterial SSU rRNA". It matches the Rfam family "Archaeal small subunit ribosomal RNA", at positions 1 to 919 of the family's 1478-position model. The record is from RNAcentral.